RNAcentral lists this ribosomal RNA (273 nucleotides) under uncultured bacterium. Its description in RNAcentral is "partial 16S ribosomal RNA". It matches the Rfam family "Bacterial small subunit ribosomal RNA", at positions 524 to 796 of the family's 1533-position model. The record is from RNAcentral.
UACGGAAGGUGCAAGCGUUAAUCGGAAUCACUGGGCGUAAAGCGCUCGUAGGUUGCUUUGUAAGUCAGGUGUGAAAUCCCACGGCUCAACCGUGGAAUUGCACUUGAUACUGCAUUGCUUGAGUUCGGGAGAGGGUAGUGGAAUUCCAGGUGUAGGAGUGAAAUCCGUAGAGAUCUGGAGGAACACCGGUGGCGAAGGCGACUACCUGGACCGAUACUGACACUGAGGAGCGAAAGCGUGGGGAGCAAACAGGAUUAGAUACCCCCGUAGUCC